GCUCGAACAUUGACGAAGUUCGGAAGAAGUUCGGAGUAAGAUCAUUCGUGGUCGGAAAAAGUUUGGAAGAGAUUCGGAGAAUAGUCGAUCACCGUAGAAAAUAGGCUGAUAGUGAAACUCAGAAAGCGUUUGGAGCAGCCCGAUGGAUGAAUGGAGGAGCUCAUUAUCGGAGAAGUCCGAAUGGUAUUAUGGAAGCUCGGACGGUCGGGGGAGUUCAGAAAGAUGCCACAAAAGGUCGG
RNAcentral lists this long non-coding RNA (239 nucleotides) under Elaeis guineensis (African oil palm). Its description in RNAcentral is "long non-coding RNA (EGUI_LNC013755)". Lineage: Eukaryota; Viridiplantae; Streptophyta; Magnoliopsida; Arecales; Arecaceae. The record is from RNAcentral.